GGGAAGGUGGCUCAGUGGUAGAGUGCUUGCCUUGCAUGCAUGAGGCCCUGGGUUCGAUUCCUCAGAUCCCCA
Non-coding RNA from Dipodomys ordii (Ord's kangaroo rat), 72 nucleotides. Lineage: Eukaryota; Metazoa; Chordata; Mammalia; Rodentia; Heteromyidae. The record is from Rfam.